Molecule: ribosomal RNA, 326 nt
Filed under: Escherichia coli
Lineage: Bacteria; Pseudomonadati; Pseudomonadota; Gammaproteobacteria; Enterobacterales; Enterobacteriaceae
Description: partial 23S ribosomal RNA
Rfam family: Bacterial large subunit ribosomal RNA
Source: RNAcentral
UUAGGUAGCGCCUCGUGAAUUCAUCUCCGGGGGUAGAGCACUGUUUCGGCAAGGGGGUCAUCCCGACUUACCAACCCGAUGCAAACUGCGAAUACCGGAGAAUGUUAUCACGGGAGACACACGGCGGGUGCUAACGUCCGUCGUGAAGAGGGAAACAACCCAGACCGCCAGCUAAGGUCCCAAAGUCAUGGUUAAGUGGGAAACGAUGUGGGAAGGCCCAGACAGCCAGGAUGUUGGCUUAGAAGCAGCCAUCAUUUAAAGAAAGCGUAAUAGCUCACUGGUCGAGUCGGCCUGCGCGGAAGAUGUAACGGGGCUAAACCAUGCAC